RNAcentral lists this unclassified non-coding RNA (343 nucleotides) under soil metagenome. RNAcentral's name for it is "partial contains 5.8S ribosomal RNA, internal transcribed spacer 2, and large subunit ribosomal RNA". The stretch from base 1 to 120 matches the Rfam family "5.8S ribosomal RNA", at positions 35 to 154 of the family's 154-position model. The record is from RNAcentral.
GAUGAAGAACGCAGUGAAAUGCGAUAAGUAAUGUGAAUUGCAGAAUUCAGUGAAUCAUCGAAUCUUUGAACGCACAUUGCGCCCGCCAGUAUUCUGGCGGGCAUACCUGUUCGAGCGUCAUUUCAACCCUCAGGCCCCGCCUGGCGUUGGGGAUCGGCGCGGCCCUCUCCGGGCUGCCGGCCCCGAAAACUAGUGGCGGUCUCGCUGUAGUCCUCCUCUGCGCAGUAGCAACGCUCGCACUGGAACUCGGCGCGGCCACGCCGUAAAACACCCCACUUCUGAAAGUUGACCUCGGAUCAGGUAGGAAUACCCGCUGAACUUAAGCAUAUCAAUAAGCGGAGGA